ACCUGGGCUCAAAUGUAUGUUGACGUAUUCUGAAAGGGAUACUUCUUCGGACAAUAUACAAGGUGCUGCAUGGUUGUCGUCAGCUCGUGCCGUGAGGUGUCGGGUUAGUCCCAUAACGAGCGCAACCCCUAUCAUUAGUUGCCAUCAGGUCAAGCUGGGGACUCGUAAUGAAACUGCCUACGCAAGUAGUGAGGAAGGUGGGGAUGGACGUCAAAUCAGCACGGCCCUUACGUCCAGGGCUACGACACGUGCUACAAUGGCCGGUACAAAGGGCAAGGCUACCUGGUGACAGGAUGCUAAUCUCCAAAAGUCGGUCUCAGUUCGGAUCGGAGUCUGCAACCCGACUCCGUGAAGUUGGAUUCGCUAGUAAUCGCGCAUCAGCCAUGGCGCGGUGAAUACGUUCCCGGGCCUU
Molecule: ribosomal RNA, 412 nt
Filed under: uncultured Sphingobacteriales bacterium
Lineage: Bacteria; Pseudomonadati; Bacteroidota; Sphingobacteriia; Sphingobacteriales
Description: bacterial SSU rRNA
Rfam family: Bacterial small subunit ribosomal RNA
Source: RNAcentral